RNAcentral lists this ribosomal RNA (434 nucleotides) under uncultured bacterium. RNAcentral's name for it is "partial 16S ribosomal RNA". It matches the Rfam family "Bacterial small subunit ribosomal RNA", at positions 29 to 507 of the family's 1533-position model. The record is from RNAcentral.
AGCGAACGCUGGCGGCAGGCCUAACACAUGCAAGUCGAACGAACCCUUCGGGGUUAGUGGCGGACGGGGGAGGAACACGUGGGAACGUGCCGGUAGGUUCGGAAUAACUCAGGGAAACUUGUGCUAAUACCGAAUGUGCCCUUCGGGGGAAAGAUUAAUCGCCUUUAGUGCGGCCCGCGUCUGAUUAGCUAGUUGGGUGAGGUAAUGGCUCACCAAGGCGACGAUCAGGAGCUGGUCUCAGAGGAUGAUCAGCCACAUUGGGACUGAGACACGGCCCAAACUCCUACGGGAGGCAGCAGUGGGGAAUCUUGCGCAAUGGGCGAAAGCCUGACGCAGCCAUGCCGCGUGAAUGAUGAAGGUCUUAGGAUUGUAAAAUUCUUUCACCGGGGACGAUAAUGACGGUACCCGGAGAAGAAGCCCCGGCUAACUUCGUG